Molecule: ribosomal RNA, 1059 nt
Filed under: uncultured bacterium
Lineage: Bacteria
Description: bacterial SSU rRNA
Rfam family: Bacterial small subunit ribosomal RNA
Source: RNAcentral
CCUACGGGAGGCAGCAGUGAGGAAUAUUGGUCAAUGGACGCAAGUCUGAACCAGCCAUGCCGCGUGCAGGAAGACGGCCCUAUGGGUUGUAAACUGCUUUUAAUUAGGAAUAACCCCCCGGAUGUAUUCGGGGCUGAAAGUACUAAAAGAAUAAGCAUCGGCUAACUCCGUGCCAGCAGCCGCGGUAAUACGGAGGAUGCAAGCGUUAUCCGGAUUCAUUGGGUUUAAAGGGUUCGCAGGCGGCAUAUUAAGUCAGUGGUGAAAUGCCUCCGCUCAACGGAGGAACUGCCAUUGAUACUGGUAUGCUAGAGUAUAGUUGGCGUAGGCGGAAUAUUUCAUGUAGCGGUGAAAUGCUUAGAUAUGAAAUAGAACACCGAUCGCGAAGGCAGCUUACGAAGCUAUAACUGACGCUCAUGAACGAAAGCGUGGGGAUCAAACAGGAUUAGAUACCCUGGUAGUCCACGCUGUAAACGAUGAUUACUCGUUGUCGGCGAUAUACAGUCGGUGGCUAAGCGAAAGUGAUAAGUAAUCCACCUGGGGAGUACGAUCGCAAGGUUGAAACUCAAAGGAAUUGACGGGGGCCCGCACAAGCGGAGGAGCAUGUGGUUUAAUUCGAUGCAACGCGAAGAACCUUACCUACCCUUGACAUCCAGAGAAUCUGUUAGAGAUAGUAGAGUGCCUUCGGGAGCUCUGAGACAGGUGCUGCAUGGCUGUCGUCAGCUCGUGUUGUGAAAUGUUGGGUUAAGUCCCGUAACGAGCGCAACCCUUAUCCUUAGUUGCCAGCGAGUCAAGUCGGGACCUCUAGGGAGACUGCCGGUGAUAAACCGGAGGAAGGUGGGGACGACGUCAAGUCAUCAUGGCCCUUAUGGGUAGGGCUACGCACGUGCUACAAUGGUCGGUACAGAGGGCAGCGAACUUGCGAGAGUAAGCAAAUCCCAGAAAGCCGAUCCUAGUCCGGAUUGGAGUCUGCAACUCGACUCCAUGAAGUCGGAAUCGCUAGUAAUCGCAAAUCAGAAUGUUGCGGUGAAUACGUUCCCGGGCCUUGUACACACCGCCCGU